GUUGAACGCUGGCGGCGUGCCUAAUACAUGCAAGUCGAGCGAACAGACGAGGAUCUUGCCUCUCUUACGUUAGCGACGGACGGGUGAGUCACACGUGGCUACCUGAUCUAUAGGACUAGCGUCACUUCGGGAACCCUGAGCUAGUAUCGGAUAUUAGAUUGAACCGCAUGGUUCUUCAGAGCUCGAGCUUUUUGCUGUCACUAGUACAUGUUACCUGGCCGCAUUAGCUAGUUGGUAAGGUAAAGGCCUACCAAGGCGACGAUGCGUAACCGACCUGAGAGGAUGAUCAGCCACACUGGAACUGAGACACGGUCCAGACUCCUACGGGAGGCAGCAGUGGGGAAUCUUGGGCAAUGGGCGAAAGCCUGACGCAGCAACGCCGCGUGAGUGAUGAAGGUCUUCGGAUCGUAAAGCUCUGUUAGUUGGGAAGAACAAAAGUGAGAGUAUACAUUCCCGUCUUGACGUUACCUACAGAGAAAGCACCGGCUAACUACGUG
This 497-nucleotide ribosomal RNA is filed under the name uncultured bacterium. Its description in RNAcentral is "partial 16S ribosomal RNA". It matches the Rfam family "Bacterial small subunit ribosomal RNA", at positions 28 to 507 of the family's 1533-position model. The record is from RNAcentral.